This 308-nucleotide unclassified non-coding RNA is filed under the name uncultured fungus. RNAcentral describes it as "partial contains 5.8S ribosomal RNA, internal transcribed spacer 2, and large subunit ribosomal RNA". The stretch from base 1 to 52 matches the Rfam family "5.8S ribosomal RNA", at positions 103 to 154 of the family's 154-position model. Lineage: Eukaryota; Fungi. The record is from RNAcentral.
AACGCACCUUGCGCUCCUUGGUAUUCCGAGGAGCAUGCCUGUUUGAGUGUCAUUAAAUUCUCAACUCCCUUUGAUUUCUUCAAAGGUGAGCUUGGAUGUGGAGGCCUGCCGGCUGCAAAGUCGGCUCCUCUGAAAUGCAUUGGCAAAUGGAUGUGUGCAUUUAAUCGGCCUUCGGUGUGAUAAUGAUCACCGUGGCUGGCUUGCUAUAACGCCUUUGCCCAACACCUCUCUUUUCCAUUGACUUGGAAAAGAGAAAACCCACUUGACCAUUUGACCUCAAAUCAGGUAGGACUACCCGCUGAACUUAA